RNAcentral lists this ribosomal RNA (469 nucleotides) under uncultured bacterium. RNAcentral's name for it is "partial 16S ribosomal RNA". It matches the Rfam family "Bacterial small subunit ribosomal RNA", at positions 28 to 507 of the family's 1533-position model. The record is from RNAcentral.
GACGAACGCUGGCGGCGUGCUUAGCACAUGCAAGUCGAACGAUGAUCUCCCGCUUGCGGGGGUGAUUAGUGGCGAACGGGUGAGUAAUACGUUAGUAACCUGCCCUUGACCCUGGGAUAAGCCUGGGAAACCGGGUCUAAUACUGGAUACUACUUCCUGCCGCAUGGUGGGGGGUGGAAAGGGUUUUACUGGUUUUGGAUGGGCUCACGGCCUAUCAGCUUGUUGGUGGAGUAAUGGCUCACCAAGGCGACGACGGGUAGCCGGCCUGAGAGGGUGACCGGCCACAGUGAGACUGGGACACGGCCCAGACUCCGACGGGAGGCAGCAGUAGGGAAGAUGGCACAAAGGGCGGAAGCGUGAUGCAGCGACGGCGCGUGAGGGAUGACGGCCUUGGGGUUGUAGACCUCAUUCAGCAGGGGAGAAGCCACAAGUGACGGUACCUGCAGAAGAAGCGCCGGCUAACUACGUG